Eucalyptus grandis is the source of this 517-nucleotide long non-coding RNA. RefSeq lists it as uncharacterized. The transcript has 3 exons. NCBI's taxonomy places the organism in Eukaryota, Viridiplantae, Streptophyta, Magnoliopsida, Myrtales, Myrtaceae. The record is from RefSeq and is a predicted model, not a curated record.
GCAGGUCGCGCUCCGGGCCAAGUGGUCCGGCACUCCAUUGCUCCUGGAAGCCGGUGAACUACUAUCAAAAGAAUGGAAAGACCUCUUUUGGGAGUUCAUUGAGGUGUGGCUUCACUCUGAGGGAAACGAUGCCAAACCCUCUACAGCCAGGGACUGCCUGAAGAUAAUUUUAGGGCACGGAAACUCUUUGAUAGGUCACUCAUUGGCACCAUUGUUCGAAUUCUCUCUUCUUCUUAGAUCAGCGUCGCCACGAUUAGUGCUGUAUAGGCAACUAGCCGAGGAGUCUCUCUCAUCUUUUCCUCUGGCUGACGAUGUUAGCUCAAGCAAUGUGAAUCCUGGGUUUCCUAGUGAAACAGAGGAAUUAAAGAGAAAGUUAGAUUCCUUGCCCGUUGGGGAAUCCGGAUAGCCCAAAUGGGAGAUGUUGUUGGGUAGAUACUGGAGGGAACUGUUCUUUGAUAUUGCAGAGCUAAACUUGUGGCUUCAAAAUCCUGAACGGAGUGGAGAUGUUUUCAUCAGC